UUUAAAACGUUGUAAUUGUAAUGCUUUCAUUUUCAUUUCUCUCUUUUUUUUUACAAGAAAUGAGAUCUGACUGGUGGAAAAGAUCUCUUUGGGAUUUCCGGAGUACGCAAACAUCAGGAGCUGGGGAAACUGUAUACAGUCUCAGGGGCAUCGACACACUGCACCGCAAGGACACUGAAGUACACCGGGAUCAUCGUCACCCGGAGCAACCAGCCACUGACAUAAACACUGGCAAACCCGGUCGUUGCCUAAUCGGUAGAAUGAGGCACCUGUCCAGCCAGUGUCACAUCCCGGGCAGGGGAGACUUGCGUGUUCUGGAAGUAACCGUCUCACUUUUCCAAUGAUUGGCAAUCGGAGGCUCCAGCCUCCUCCGUGUUCUGUUGACAAGACAGGUGACCUGUGAGAUCGAGGUUACACUUAGCAGGCUAUUGUGUUCAGCGCCAUGUCAUCAUGAAUCUGGAAAAUGUAAGAGUACUCGAUACAUUUGUUCAUAAAGUGUUUGUUAUUUAUUGUUAAAUCCAUGUUUUGUGAUGUUAUUGGUUUUCUGAAAAGAGUAUCCUACUCCCAUUAAUUUUACUAGCGCAGUAACUCCAAAGGCUGUACUACAACAGUGUAGAACCAUUGACCUAUUAACUGCAAAUACACUGUUGCUAUUUGUAAUCCUGUUUUCUUCCAUUAUUUGCAAACCCCCAAUUAAAAGUUGGAUUUAUAUUAUACUAUGAUGACUUCAAAAGAAACCAGAAAGAAAAUAUCCUACUAGUGUUUUGUUUUGUUUGUUUGUUUGUUUUUGUUUGUUU
RNAcentral lists this long non-coding RNA (797 nucleotides) under Lepisosteus oculatus (spotted gar). Its description in RNAcentral is "lncRNA (ENSLOCG00000023003.1)". Lineage: Eukaryota; Metazoa; Chordata; Actinopteri; Semionotiformes; Lepisosteidae. The record is from RNAcentral.